UUAAGUCAGGCAACAAGCGAGACCCCUGCCGUUAAUUGCUACCAUUAUCCGCAAGGAUGGUGGAGCUAGUUGGCGGGACUGCCGCCGCUAAGGCGGAGGAAGGAAGGGGCAACGGCAGGUCAGUAUGCCCCGAAACUCCUGGGCCACACGCGGGCUGCAAUGGUAGAGACAAUGGGUUCCUACCUCGAAAGGGGGAGGCAAUCCCCAAACUCUACCCCAGUUGUGACUGAGGGCUGCAACCCGCCCUCACGAAUCUGGAAUCCCUAGUAAUCGCAUGUCAUCACCGUGCGGUGAAUACGUCCCUGCUCCUUGCACA
Molecule: ribosomal RNA, 316 nt
Filed under: uncultured archaeon
Lineage: Archaea
Description: bacterial SSU rRNA
Rfam family: Archaeal small subunit ribosomal RNA
Source: RNAcentral